CGUUAGGAAGCUAUGAACCAGCACUAGCCUUUUAAGCUAGAGAUAGAGGGCCAAACCCCUCCCUAAUGA
This 69-nucleotide transfer RNA is filed under the name Culicicapa ceylonensis. Its description in RNAcentral is "tRNA-Lys". It matches the Rfam family "tRNA". From Rfam's summary of the family: Transfer RNA (tRNA) molecules are approximately 80 nucleotides in length. Their secondary structure includes four short double-helical elements and three loops (D, anti-codon, and T loops). Further hydrogen bonds mediate the characteristic L-shaped molecular structure. tRNAs have two regions of fundamental functional importance: the anti-codon, which is responsible for specific mRNA codon recognition, and the 3' end, to which the tRNAs corresponding amino acid is attached (by aminoacyl-tRNA synthetases). tRNAs cope with the degeneracy of the genetic code in two manners: having more than one tRNA (with a specific anti-codon) for a particular amino acid; and 'wobble' base-pairing, i.e. permitting non-standard base-pairing at the 3rd anti-codon position. Lineage: Eukaryota; Metazoa; Chordata; Aves; Passeriformes; Stenostiridae. The record is from RNAcentral.